GGAGGACAGUGUGAUAGGUGGAGGACAGUGUGAUGGGUGGAGGACAGUGUGAUGGGUGGACGACAGUGUGAUGGGCGGAGGACAGUGUGAUGGGCGGAGGACAGUGUGAUGGGUGGAGGACAGUGUGAUGAGUGGAGGACACUGUGAUGGGUGGAGGACACUGUGAUAGGCGGAGGACAGUGUGAUGGGUGGAGGACAGUGUGAUGGGCGGAGGACAGUGUGAUGGGUGGAGGACAGUGUGAUGGGUGGAGGACACUGUGAUGAGUGGAGGACAGUGUGAUGAGUGGAGGACAGUGUGAUGGGUGGAGGACAGUGUGAUGGGUGGAGGACAGUGGGAGGCUGGGAACAGUGGCAGGCAGCAGGGAACAUUCAGAGGCAGGCAGGUUCAGGAGCUAACCCUUAUUCUUUUCAAUUAUUCACAAACCCUGAAAAAGAACCUCCAUCUCCUUUGCUCCCCCUCCCUAGACACACGCGCUUGCAAACAUACACACACGCUCACACACGCACACACACGCACACACACCCACACACCCACACACACACACACACACACACACACACACGCUCACACACGCACACACACGCACACACACCCACACACCCACACACACACACACACACACACACACAGACAAGGGCCCUUAAAAUACCUAGUCUAAAAAUAGCAGAUGGGAAGCGGGAGCUUAGCUAUUAUUAUUGCACACACGUCCUGCCUAGUCCCACCAAGGAAAGACAAGAGACUAAUGAUUUUCAUGGUGCAAGCAAUUAAAAA
Molecule: long non-coding RNA, 772 nt
Organism: Oncorhynchus tshawytscha (Chinook salmon)
Lineage: Eukaryota; Metazoa; Chordata; Actinopteri; Salmoniformes; Salmonidae
Source: Ensembl